This 551-nucleotide ribosomal RNA is filed under the name Aureobasidium melanogenum. RNAcentral describes it as "partial large subunit ribosomal RNA". It matches the Rfam family "Eukaryotic large subunit ribosomal RNA", at positions 88 to 655 of the family's 3401-position model. Lineage: Eukaryota; Fungi; Ascomycota; Dothideomycetes; Dothideales; Saccotheciaceae. The record is from RNAcentral.
GGCGAGUGAGCGGCAACAGCUCAAAUUUGAAAGCUGGCCUUCGGGUCCGCAUUGUAAUUUGUAGAGGAUGCUUUGGGUGAAACGCCAGUCUAAGUUCCUUGGAACAGGACGUCAUAGAGGGUGAGAAUCCCGUAUGUGACUGGAAAUGUUAACCUAUGUAAAGCUCCUUCGACGAGUCGAGUUGUUUGGGAAUGCAGCUCUAAAUGGGAGGUAAAUUUCUUCUAAAGCUAAAUAUUGGCGAGAGACCGAUAGCGCACAAGUAGAGUGAUCGAAAGAUGAAAAGCACUUUGGAAAGAGAGUUAAAAAGCACGUGAAAUUGUUGAAAGGGAAGCGCUUGCAAUCAGACUUGUUUAAACUGUUCGGCCGGUCUUCUGACCGGUUUACUCAGUUUGGACAGGCCAGCAUCAGUUUCGGCGGCCGGAUAAAGGCUCUGGGAAUGUGGCCUUCACUUCGGUGAAGGUGUUAUAGCCCAGGGUGUAAUACGGCCAGCCGGGACUGAGGUCCGCGCUUCGGCUAGGAUGCUGGCGUAAUGGUUGUAAGCGACCCGUCUU